GACAAAGUGGUGUAGUGGUUUGAGUGUGGACUACAACUCUGGAGACCAGGUUUCGAAUUCCAGCUCGGCCA
Non-coding RNA from Phrynosoma platyrhinos (Desert horned lizard), 71 nucleotides. NCBI's taxonomy places the organism in Eukaryota, Metazoa, Chordata, Lepidosauria, Squamata, Phrynosomatidae. The record is from the annotation of a GenBank genome assembly.